Molecule: ribosomal RNA, 539 nt
Filed under: Trigonopterus sp. 174 AR-2022a
Lineage: Eukaryota; Metazoa; Arthropoda; Insecta; Coleoptera; Curculionidae
Description: partial large subunit ribosomal RNA
Rfam family: Bacterial large subunit ribosomal RNA
Source: RNAcentral
GGCUUGUUGAUUAUAAUUUCAAGUUUGACCUGCCCAAUGAUUAGGUUUAAUGGCCGCGGUAUAUUGACUGUGCAAAGGUAGCAUAAUCACUAGUUUUUUAAUUGGAAGCUUGUAUGAAAGGUUUGAUGAGAAGGUUUCUGUCUCUAGAAAAAUUUAUUAGAAUUUUAUUUUUAAGUGAAAAAGCUUAAAUUUGUGUUGAAGACGAGAAGACCCUAUAGAGUUUUAUAUUUAUGUAAAUAGUUAUAAUUUAGAAGAAUAGGAAAAUUUACUUUUGAUAUAAAUAUUUAGUUGGGGUGAUGGAAAAAUUGAUUUAACUUUUUUUUAUGAGAACAUUGAUUUAUGAUUUUAUGAUCCUUUAAUUAAGAUUAGAAGAAUAAAUUACCUUAGGGAUAACAGCGUAAUUUUUUUUAGAGUUCUUAUCAAAAAAAAAGGUUGCGACCUCGAUGUUGGAUUAAAAUUUAUUAUUGGUGUAGAAGCUAAUAGAUUGGGUCUGUUCGACCUUUAAAAUUUUACAUGAUCUGAGUUUAAACCGGUGUGAG